GACACAUGCUCCCUUGCCUCUUUUGGGUCCGGAGGGCACUGGGAGAGCAGAGACUGCAUCUUCUGGAGCAGGAAGACUGCGGUGGUUGUAUUUACUCUUCUCUGUGCUUAUUGCCACGGUGGCCACCACCAAAGAUGAGGUCUGCCAUCUGCUUCCUUUGCCGUCAGGGCACUGACCCCAACCCUACACACUUGUCUUUCUCGUCGCCUCUGCCUGCCCAGAGACCAGACGGAGGGAGUUGCUGUAAGCUUGCUCAGGAUCAGCGCUGCAACGGACACUGAAUGAAGAGGCUCUGAGGGAAAAAAAGAAAAGAAGAAAGAAAAGAUCCCUUGAGAAGUUACUGAAAACGGAGCACCAUCCAUCCGAAUGCUGCGAGCUUGGACUGUUCUGGAAGCAAGCUUGCUGGAGGGCAUCUGAGUGGGAUAGACUGUUAGGGAUGGGGUGGUAACUGCCCCCCUUUUUGCUGAAGUCAUAACCCAGAGCCUCCAUGUGGGGACUGUUCGGAGAGAGGGAGGGUACAUUCAUUGCUUUCCUGUUGCUACGAUGAAACACCACUACUGUGUGAGUCAGGGUUCUCUAGAGUAGCAGAACUUAGAGAGUUUAUCUUUCUCUGUACACGGAAAGGGGUUUAUUGGGAUGUUUGACAGGCUGUGCAGUCCAGCAAAUCCAACAGUGGCUUGGUGCUAACAGAAAGGCCAAGAAUCUGAUAGUUGCUGGGCCCACAGGGCUGCAAGUCUCAGCUGGUCAUCAGUGGACGCUGGAAUCCUCUGAAGGAGUAGGUUCUAGUGCCAGCGAAGGAAUGGGCCUGCCAGCAAGGCAAGGGCAAGCAGGCAAAACAAAAAGGCUUUGUCCCUCCGUGUCCUUGCAUAGGCUUCCUGCAGUAGGUGUGGCCAAGAUUAGAGGUGUCCUGUCCAGUCCCAUGCCC
Long non-coding RNA from Mesocricetus auratus (golden hamster), 925 nucleotides. RefSeq lists it as uncharacterized. The record is from RefSeq and is a predicted model, not a curated record. Lineage: Eukaryota; Metazoa; Chordata; Mammalia; Rodentia; Cricetidae. The transcript is spliced from 3 exons.